RNAcentral lists this ribosomal RNA (253 nucleotides) under uncultured bacterium. RNAcentral's name for it is "partial 16S ribosomal RNA". It matches the Rfam family "Bacterial small subunit ribosomal RNA", at positions 524 to 776 of the family's 1533-position model. The record is from RNAcentral.
UACGUAGGGGGCAAGCGUUAUCCGGAUUUACUGGGUGUAAAGGGAGCGUAGACGGUCCUGCAAGCCAGAUGUGAAAGCCCGGGGCUCAACCCCGGGACUGCAUUUGGAACUGUAAGGCUAGAGUGUCGGAGAGGCAGGCGGAAUUCCUAGUGUAGCGGUGAAAUGCGUAGGUAUUAGGAGGAACACCAGUGGCGAAGGCGGCCUGCUGGACGAUGACUGACGUUGAGGCUCGAAAGCGUGGGGAGCAAACAGG